This 531-nucleotide ribosomal RNA is filed under the name Clostridioides difficile. Its description in RNAcentral is "bacterial SSU rRNA". It matches the Rfam family "Bacterial small subunit ribosomal RNA", at positions 1 to 557 of the family's 1533-position model. The record is from RNAcentral. Lineage: Bacteria; Bacillati; Bacillota; Clostridia; Peptostreptococcales; Peptostreptococcaceae.
UUUUAUUUGAGAGUUUGAUCCUGGCUCAGGAUGAACGCUGGCGGCGUGCCUAACACAUGCAAGUUGAGCGAUUUACUUCGGUAAAGAGCGGCGGACGGGUGAGUAACGCGUGGGUAACCUACCCUGUACACACGGAUAACAUACCGAAAGGUAUGCUAAUACGGGAUAAUAUAUUUGAGAGGCAUCUCUUGAAUAUCAAAGGUGAGCCAGUACAGGAUGGACCCGCGUCUGAUUAGCUAGUUGGUAAGGUAACGGCUUACCAAGGCGACGAUCAGUAGCCGACCUGAGAGGGUGAUCGGCCACAUUGGAACUGAGACACGGUCCAAACUCCUACGGGAGGCAGCAGUGGGGAAUAUUGCACAAUGGGCGAAAGCCUGAUGCAGCAACGCCGCGUGAGUGAUGAAGGCCUUCGGGUCGUAAAACUCUGUCCUCAAGGAAGAUAAUGACGGUACUUGAGGAGGAAGCCCCGGCUAACUACGUGCCAGCAGCCGCGGUAAUACGUAGGGGGCUAGCGUUAUCCGGAUUUACUGG